Molecule: ribosomal RNA, 253 nt
Filed under: uncultured bacterium
Lineage: Bacteria
Description: partial 16S ribosomal RNA
Rfam family: Bacterial small subunit ribosomal RNA
Source: RNAcentral
UACAGAGGUGGCAAGCGUUGUUCGGAAUUACUGGGCGUAAAGGGCGCGUAGGCGGUUCGUUAAGUCCUGUGUGAAAGCCCCCGGCUCAACUGGGGAGGGUCACGCGAUACUGAUCGACUCGAAGGCAGGAGAGGGAAGUGGAAUUCCCGGUGUAGUGGUGAAAUGCGUAGAUAUCGGGAGGAACACCAGUGGCGAAGGCGACUUCCUGGCCUGUUCUUGACGCUGAGGCGCGAAAGCUAGGGGAGCAAACGGG